RNAcentral lists this transfer RNA (73 nucleotides) under Marmota monax (woodchuck). It matches the Rfam family "tRNA". From Rfam's summary of the family: Transfer RNA (tRNA) molecules are approximately 80 nucleotides in length. Their secondary structure includes four short double-helical elements and three loops (D, anti-codon, and T loops). The record is from Rfam by way of RNAcentral. Lineage: Eukaryota; Metazoa; Chordata; Mammalia; Rodentia; Sciuridae.
GGAAUUGUGGCUCAUCGGUAGAGCACGUGCUUGCCUAGCAUGUGUGAGGCCCUGGGUUCGAUCCUCAGCACCA